UCGCCGAAAGGCGAGUCCUCUGAGUAGGA
This 29-nucleotide small RNA is filed under the name Bombyx mori (domestic silkworm). Its description in RNAcentral is "ovarian small RNA-28687". The record is from RNAcentral. Lineage: Eukaryota; Metazoa; Arthropoda; Insecta; Lepidoptera; Bombycidae.